ACUCAGACGUGGCAGGGGAGAUACCAUUGUUGUAAAAGUGAUUUUCCCAGGGUAAAGCUCAUCUAUUGCACUUUGGAUGAGCUGACCCCUGUGAUUUCCCCAAAGGUGGGAAAAUCAACUGCCUAAGUGGGAGAUUGUGUUUGUGGUUUCCCU
Molecule: small nuclear RNA, 153 nt
Filed under: Pogona vitticeps (central bearded dragon)
Lineage: Eukaryota; Metazoa; Chordata; Lepidosauria; Squamata; Agamidae
Description: U1 spliceosomal RNA (ENSPVIG00000016523.1)
Rfam family: U1 spliceosomal RNA
About the family: U1 is a small nuclear RNA (snRNA) component of the spliceosome (involved in pre-mRNA splicing). Its 5' end forms complementary base pairs with the 5' splice junction, thus defining the 5' donor site of an intron.
Source: Rfam by way of RNAcentral